UAGGGAAUCUUCGGCAAUGGACGGAAGUCUGACCGAGCAACGCCGCGNGAGUGAAGAAGGUUUUCGGAUCGUAAAGCUCUGUUGUAAGAGAAAAAUGAGUGUGAGAGUGGAAAGUUCACACUGUGACGGUAUCUUACCAGAAAGGGACGGCUAACUACGUGCCAGCAGCCGCGGUAAUACGUAGGUCCCAAGCGUUGUCCGGAUUUAUUGGGCGUAAAGCGAGCGCAGGCGGUUAGAUAAGUCUGAAGUUAAAGGCUGUGGCUUAACCAUAGUACGCUUUGGAAACUGUUUAACUUGAGUGCAAGAGGGGAGAGUGGAAUUCCAUGUGUAGCGGUGAAAUGCGUAGAUAUAUGGAGGAACACCGGUGGCGAAAGCGGCUCUCUGGCUUGUAACUGACGCUGAGGCUCGAAAGCGUGGGGAGCAAACAGGAUUAGAUACCCUGGUAGUCCACGCCGUAAACGAUGAGUGCUAGGUGUUAGACCCUUUCCGGGGUUUAGUGCCGUAGCUAACGCAUUAAGCACUCCGCCUGGGGAGUACGACCGCAAGGUUG
This 550-nucleotide ribosomal RNA is filed under the name uncultured bacterium. RNAcentral's name for it is "bacterial SSU rRNA". It matches the Rfam family "Bacterial small subunit ribosomal RNA", at positions 355 to 896 of the family's 1533-position model. The record is from RNAcentral.